UUACGGUCGUAUCACGUAGAAACACCUGUUUCCGUGCGAUUACCGAAGUUAAACAACGUUGAGCCUGGUUAGUAUCUAAAAGGGUGACCGCUUACGAAAACCAGGCG
This is a non-coding RNA of Acanthosepion pharaonis, 107 nucleotides long. Lineage: Eukaryota; Metazoa; Mollusca; Cephalopoda; Sepiida; Sepiidae. The record is from the annotation of a GenBank genome assembly.